CCAGUCCUCCUCCUCCUCCUUCUCGUGCAGUCGGUCAGGUCAGUCGUGUCUCUCCUCUCCUCUCCUCCUCUGUCUGCUGAGGCAUCUCAUCGGCAAUUCGAUCGGCAUAGAUACAGCACAGAGGCGAGGCAUAGGAUAGAGCCGGAGGAGGAGGAUCCCCAGGCCUUGGAUUCCUUCCCUAGGGUUGUUGGGCAGCCUGCUAGGGUUAGGCUCGACGCUGGGGGCAGGGGGACGGGGCUCCUCCUCCGCCGCCAAUGCCUCCCGGUGCUAGGCGCGCCGCCAAGCCCGGGCGCAAGUGGACCAGGGAGCCGCGGCUCGGCGACCUCGUCCUCGCCAAGGUCAAGGGCUACCCGCCCUGGCCCGCCAAGGUCAGCAGGCCCGAGGACUGGGGCCAAACGCCAAUGCCACGCAAGUUCUUCGUCUACUUCUUCGGCACCAGAGAGAUUGCCUUUGUAACUCUGGCAGAUCUUCAGGAAUUUACCGAAGAGGCAAAAAAUGAGCUGUUAGAUCGAGCUCCGAACACUAAAUUGCCGAAAAAAUAUGCCCAACCUUUUAGUGAAGCUGUGGAGCAGAUCUGCAAGGCCCAUGAUGAGCUGCCAAAAUCAUCUGAAAUUGCAAGCGGUGUUUUGCCUGAUCAGAGUGAAAAGCCUACAGAGCACCUUGUGAAGUCGCAUAAUAAUGGUGAGACUCCAGGAUUGGGACAAAUGGAAGGUGAUAGUCCUAUCGACGACUCUAAAACUUUAGGGCAAGGGUCAGGGACUGAGGAGGAUGUGAAAGACGUUGGUCAUGAAAAAGGGGAUCCUUCUGUAGCAGUUUCUCAAAAGAAAAGACCUUUACGAAAGGAUCAUGAUCACCCCAAGACAAAGAAGUCUGUUGCAUCCAAGUCUGUUCUUGACAUGUACCAUGAACAGGAGCAUUCACCAACCUCUGCGUGUGCAGAAAGGGAGACUGAAGAAGUAAAAGUUGAGAAAGAGAGCCGCCCACCAGAAGGUUUUGUUUUGGACCCCAACUUGGAGGUAGUUUGCGCUCUUGAAGUACCAAAGAAAUCUAAAGCUAACAAGCAGUCGAAGAAUGCCGAAAGGAAGGAAAACAAGCGUGCUGACAUUAGUGGUUCUACUGGAAGGAUUGCUACUGAAGCUGCAACUGAUGCUGUAUUAAACAUGGGUGCUGACAAAGAGAGCAUAGGAUUUAAGAAGUCAAAAAUCAUGACGAAACAAUCACUGGCCAAUGAUUCAGAGAAAAGGGACUAUAACAAAAUUGUGCAUGGCAAGCCUGACAAGCAGUCGACUGGAAAGUCAUCUGCAGGAUUUUCUUCCAAUAAGAAGCCUCUGCCUGGUAGCGGGCAGCGCAAGCCGGACCGUAGUACUGAUACAUAUCCGGCAAAGAGGCCAAGACUUCUGGACAGGGCUGGUGAAACAGUUAAGACAGUGGCCAAGAGUGAGACGAUGCUAACUGUUAAUGACGAAAAGGAUAAUGCUAUGAAGCAUGAGAGAUCUACCACUGUAGAGACAGGAAACAACACAGUUCCCAAGACUGGUAUCAGCGAUGAUAGGGCACGGAGAUCAGGGAGUGUUCUGUCACCUGUAUCAAGGCUUCAUUCUGAGGGAUUGGAACCAGGAUCUGGUUCUGCAACUCAGUCAGUUGUUGCUGAUUCUGCUAAAAAGGGCUCCAGCAUGAAGGAGGGUGCCUCCCGUGUUGAUAGGCAAUUGGUGAAACCCAAGAGAAGAGCGUGUCGCUUUGAUGAUGAUGAGGACGAAGGACAGCGGACACCACUUCAUAGAACUUCUGCCAAAUCUUUCUCCACACAUGUAGUCCCAGCUGAGAAUACAGGGACUCGGGGGAAUUUUUCAUCUCAAGUUGGCAAUGCUUCUGUAAAAAAAUCUGGCGCUGCAAGAGAAGAGAAACCAAGAUGUGUUGGGAUGUCACCUGUGACGCAUGAGCCAGUUUGUUCUUCACCAAGUCAAGAUAAAAUGCAUGCUAGACAACAGAUAGUGGGGAGAAGAUCGAUCACAGGCUCAGUUGAUACUCCUGCUGGUUUGGGUAACAAAAUUAACCUGGUAGAUCGGAAAUCCUCUGGACAAUUAAAAAUGCCGGCAUCCUCUGAAGUGAAGAAACUUCAUAGUAGUUCUUCUAAACUAUUGCACCAAACAUCUGGAAACUCCCAUUCUCGAAAGCAUGCUGCCUCAGAAAAGAAUGCCUUGUUGUCCAAGUCAGAAAACACGAAGGCAAAACCUAAGCCUGGGGCACAGAUAGCUACGGCUGUUGAGAAUAAGGUAAGCGCCACUUUGUCAGCUGAACGAACUGGGAAGUGGGAUCACUCGAAAGAGGAAAGAUCAAAUUUUGUUGAUAAAGCAGCUUCUUCUGAACCUAACCCUGAUUCCGUCAGGUCAAUGAAACAUCUUAUUGCAGCUGCCCAAGCAAGGAGGAAUCUUAUAGUGUCUUCUCAUGGAAAGUUCGAUGGGUCUUUGGCUGAUAAUACUGGUCUUACUUCAACACCAUAUGGUUUGCCUGGACUAAGCCCUAGUCCUGUUUUUCGCAUUCCAUCCGCAUCUAGAAUUUCUUUUCCAGAGAGCCCUGGUCAACGUAUUGUUCUGAAAAGCCCAAUGGAGCUUGACCAUGAACAUGGAAAGAGUCCCAAGCCUAGGCAGACCAGCGGUUCACCGAGCGGUGGUACAGAUGCAGUGAUUGCUCGUGAUGCUCUGGAGGGAAUGAUAGAGACACUCUCGAGGACAAAAGAUAGCAUAGGGCGUGCGACACGUCAUGCAAUUGAGUGCUCCAAAUAUGGCAUUGCUGGAGAGAUUGUCGAGCUUCUCAUACAGAAAUUGGAGAGUGAGCCUAAUUUGCAUCGCAGAAUUGACCUCCUUUUUCUCGUGGACUCCAUAACGCAGUGUUCUCAUUCUCAGAAAGGCAUUGCUGGGGUUUCAUAUGUUCCCACUGUUCAAGCUGCAUUACCUCGUCUUUUGGGUGCUGCUGCUCCACCUGGAGUUGGUGCUCGUGAAAACCGGCGCCAGUUCCUCAAAGUUUUAAGACUGUGGCUUGAGAGAAAGAUUAUGCCAGAAGACAUACUCCGAAGGUACAUGGGUGACAUUGAGGUGCCAAAUGAUGAUACUAGCACAAGUUUUCUGUUGAAGAGACCAUCCCGCGCCGAACGCUCUGUGGACGAUCCUAUUAGGGAGAUGGAUGACAUGCUUGUUGAUGAGUAUGGAAGCAAUGCAGCCUUUGAGCUUUCUGGAAUUUUAUCAGCAAAAAUCUUUGAAAAUGGUGAAGAUUUUCCUCAAAAUAAUGAAUCAUUACCAUUUAUUUCGCGGCCAGUUGAAAGUGAUGGCAUACAAGAAAAUGAAGAUACUAUUGCUCCAACAUCUGUUACGGAACACAUUAUUUUACCAGAGACUGAAACUACUGAUGCUGCUAUGGAAGAUGCUUCGGAGUUCCUAAGAAACAAGCAACAGACUGUUGAAGCUGUCCUCAUUGAGCAUGACUCUAGGCAAGAACCGGGUUCAGAGCAGGCAUUGAUUGAUCAGAAUGAGCUUCCCCCUCUAGCCGAGGGCCCUCCACCACUUCCAUCGGAUUCACCUCCUCCUCCACCACCCUUGCCUCCUUCACCACCACCUGCUACACCGCCACCGCCGCCACCGCCUCCACUUUCGCCAGCUUCGCCACCUCCGCCUCUGCCAUCUGGACCACCUCCUCAGCCUGCUCCACCACCACUGCCAACCCAGUCCCCACCUCUUCCUUCUAUUCCGCCGCCUGUUCCUUCAUCUCCCUUAUCAUUGGGUUACCAGUCUCCAGCGCCAGAGUACUUCAGGGCCCCCAAUGGCGACCGACUAACACAGAUGACAGGAAAUACAUCGAUUCAAGCUAUUGGAAAUACAACAAACUUCAUUCCUGGUGGAUCAGUCAAUGGACAAGCUGCGGUUAAUUUUGUACCUUCAAUGCCAACAGAGUAUGGAAACAAUAAUGUAUUUAUAGCACCUCAAGCUUCUAAUGGUAAUUACCAGUUUCGACCCACUGGUGUACCUUUUCAUCAAGGGAAUUUCAGUGCCUUUCCAUCUUCUCAAACACUACCAGUUCAUUCCCACUCUCGUCUUGCACACAUGAAUCCCAUGGGCCAACAAGCUGUACCACCUCAGUGCAAUCCUUAUGCAGUGCAGUCCUUUCCAAAUAGUCAAAGCCAUUAUCCAUCUGAUGAACAUUGGCGAAUGGCAUCUGGUAACUUUAGUCCAGAUGACCAGCAUAAUAAUUGGUCAGCAGGUAGCAGAGCAUUAUCUUGCUCAGAAGGGUCAUUCAUGAAGGAUGGAUAUUCAAGGUCUAACAUCGACAGAACUUCAAUGAAUCCUAUGAGUCAUCAACAUCCUGUUCUAAACCAUUUCCCAUCUGGAGCACCGAUACCAGGCCAUGUUGUUCCUCAGAUGCUACCAGCCAGAUCUGAUAUGCACACACUUAAUUGCUGGAGGCCUUCUUGAUGAAGUUGUACAUUGAAUUCCUCGCUUUCCGGUUUUGACAUGGGAAGUUCGGGGCACUGGAGACCAUUUGAGUUCGAGAUACAACAAGUGGUGCUUCUGUUAGUCUGUUUUGUGAUGAAGAUACACUUGCAUGGGGUGUAACGAUGAGAUCUGCCAUAGUAUUUGGAAUGGACAUUUUACAAUGUAAUUAGUCUUGACAGCAGCAUCCAGCAGACUAAUCUCCUAGUUUCUGUCGGCGAGAGCUACAGGGUCUCCCAGUUUGGUCGGCAAGAACGUAUAAAUUCUCCUGAGGAAGGGCCAUCUCGAUCUCCCAGUUCUGUCUGCGAGAGCCUUUCACUCUGCAAUGCUAUAGGAUGAGAAUGAGAGUGCUCGAGAGAAGGUUAUGGGUGUUAAUGUUUGAUAGGAAAGAGAUUAGAAAAGAAGAGAAAUAUUUGGCUGUCAGAUAACUAAAGUUAAGUUGUGGGGGAAGAAAGAGAAAUGUUUGACUAAUACAUACUGAAAAGAAGAGAAAUAUUUGGCUGUCAGAUAACUAAAGUUAAGUUGUGGGGGAACAAAGAGAAAUGUUUGACUAAUACAUACUGGCACCUAUUGCAUCAGAAGGGAGUUUAUCACAGGACCACAAGGUAUGAGAAGGGUUUAUCACAGGACAACAAGGGUGUUGAAGUCAAGAUGAGGGAGGUACCAUAAGUUAGACAUUGGAAACUCCAAAGAUGAAAAAGUGUACAAGAAUGGGCUCUUGAAGAAGAAAACUUAUGACGUAUGCCAUUACUUGCAAGGCAUGAUACCUAUAAUAUGUUGCUAAGACUACCCAAGUGCAGCUACCAUAUCAGCAAUGCUUAAUUCGCCACGGAGAUGGAGUGUGCAGGCGGUGCCCCUCCACUCAACUCGCCGGGAAACAGCAUCGCUGGCCUAGACAGCACAAGUGCUGUAGGCGGCCUCCUGCUGCCUGUCAACUUUGUGCACUUCUUAACCUGUGAGAUAUUGUUUAACCUUGUCGCGCUUUGAUUUGGUGAAACUAAUAAACAGUGAUUUCUUUUAUUGAUUGAUCUUGGAAAAGCAAUGGCUGUUGUCUCCAGCAUUUUUGCGGGGCUUUAUGGAGCAGUCAUUGUCGACCAGAAGAAGUUGGCCUGGAGGGGAUCGGAGUUUCCUAUGUGGUGGCCGUUGUUACGGAGUUUGAUGAAUAUACCACUGACUAGCUUUACCUCUGAGGGAUAAUUGUUUCAAAGUACAGCAUUUCCUUUUUGACUGUUUUGAACUUAAUGUGCUAAUAUACUUUGUCAUGUGCUGCUUUGUCACUUAGCAGUUUUGUCGUUCCUUUUGUUAACAAUUAGGCCUUCCUAUCCUACCAUAGAGAAGUUAUCCGACUCCGUAGAGUUUUCAUUCAGACUAGAUGUCUCUGUUAAAGGAAGUAACAUAAUGGCUCAUUGGUGCCAAAAGCAAGGAGGUGGACUGAGUAGCAAAUAGGUAGUAGCCAGAACAAAUCGAUGGAGUUUGGAAAAUAAUCAAAGUAAGUUGUUUCUUCUA
RNA transcript from Phragmites australis (common reed), 5987 nucleotides. It is a transcript of the gene named ENHANCER OF AG-4 protein 2-like, with no coding region annotated. NCBI's taxonomy places the organism in Eukaryota, Viridiplantae, Streptophyta, Magnoliopsida, Poales, Poaceae. The record is from RefSeq and is a predicted model, not a curated record. The transcript is spliced from 17 exons.